CCUACGGGAGGCAGCAGUGAGGAAUAUUGGUCAAUGGACGCAAGUCUGAACCAGCCAUGCCGCGUGCAGGAUGACGGCCCUAUGGGUUGUAAACUUCUUUUAUACGGGGGUAAAACCCGACACGUGUGUCGGUUUGUAUGUAUCGUACGAAUAAGGAUCGGCUAACUCCGUGCCAGCAGCCGCGGUAAUACGGAGGAUCCGAGCGUUAUCCGGAUUUAUUGGGUUUAAAGGGUGCGUAGGCGGAUUGUUAAGUCAGUUGUGAAAGUUUGCGGCUCAACCCCAAAAUUGCAUUUGAAACUGGUAGUCUUGAGUACAGUAGAGGUAGGCGGAAUGUGUGGUGUAGCGGUGAAAUGCUUAGAUAUCACGCAGAACUCCGAUUGCGAAGGCAGCUCACUAAACUACAACUGACAUUGAGGCACGAAAGUGUGGGUAUCAAACAGGAUUAGAUACCCUAGUAGUC
RNAcentral lists this ribosomal RNA (460 nucleotides) under uncultured bacterium. RNAcentral's name for it is "partial 16S ribosomal RNA". It matches the Rfam family "Bacterial small subunit ribosomal RNA", at positions 338 to 795 of the family's 1533-position model. The record is from RNAcentral.